UGGAGCCUGGGGGUGACAGGCUCUUCCAGCCCCUGCCGCUGCCUGCCCAGGCGGCCUGGCUGCCCCAGCGCCCGCAGGAGGGAGGGUGGGAGCCCGUGGGGCUCCUGCUCCUGCCGCGAUGGGAGUUCCUGACCCGCCUGGGCAAUGCCCGUGGUCCUCCAGGGGUACCCAGCUGCGGGGUCUGUGCAGCGUGACCCCCACACGGGGGCAGGGGCUGGGGGGGAUGGAUGCCCCUGGAGAUGGGGGGGAUGGAUGCCCCUAGGAUGCCCCUAUACGGGAACGACGAGAGGGCAGGGAAAGCCCAGCCCGUCCCGUGGGAAAUGCAGCCUGCAGCAGGGCCGAGGGGUGGCUGCGGGGCUGCGCUGGGGCCACCGGCUCUAGCGACACUCCCGGGUCGGCACUGCCCGGCCCGGCCCCGCCGGGACACAGCAGGGCACGGUGUGUGCGGAGCCUGCCGAGCCCUGUCCGCCUCGCUGCCCGAACGGAGCCGUUCGGUGCCUGAUGGGCCCCGCUCCGCACGAGGGGUGCGCUGAGGCUGCCGGGCCGCAGCUGGCGACAGGCCGGGGAGCUGGGGCAGAAAGAGCUCAGCCCCAAACCGCCCGGGCCCCUCACAGCCCCAACCCUCAGCUCAACAAGGGGGCUCAGCCCCGCAGGUGACUUGAAGGCUUAACUCACAUGUCCCUGCUCCCAAGCCCUGUGCAAGCCAGUGGCAGCAGCUGAUCCCCUGGAAGCAUCUCCCGUGUCUCACCAGGUGCAGUUUAGGAUGUAGUGAAUUUUUAAACUUGAUCCUGCAGACCUUUCAAGUUCUCUCUCCUCCUGAGAAUCUUCAGUCCAUGUUUUUCUUCCAUAUCCACUGCAAUGUCUGCCUGUGGUUUAUGUCGUCGGACUCCCGCUGCCCUCGUGAAUCUGCCAUGUGGGAGCUGGAUGAUGUGAAUGAGUUCUUUGGGUUUUUCCUGUUCUUAUUUGGUAAACUUGGGUUCAUGUUCUGGGAAACUCAUCCCAGUGCUCUACACGGUCUGUGGAUAUAAAUCUGCUCUGAACUCAUGCCUACUGCCAACAUUUUUCAAACCAGAUACUGAACAAGAGAGGGUUUUAGUUAACAUAAACCAGAGGCAAUUUAUGAUGACAAAGUAUUGCAAGAUGUGUGAGGGAAGAGACAAGCUGCUGAAAUGUUUGGCUAAAGUGAAGUGAAGAAGUGGAAUGUUUUUCUUUGUUCAGUGGCGUCCCCAAGGCCGCUCGGGCAGGGUGAGGAGGCUGCACAUCCCCAGCUGCCUCUGCUGGUGCUUUGGGAGCAGGAUGGAGACCGACUCUGCCCGGCAGCCCUUGGCAGGGCGUGCUGGGUACAGCUGCUGUUUUGUUGCUGGCUUUGGGGGCUUUGUUCUCUUUUCCUUUAAGAUACCUUGAGAAUGGAUGUUUCUCCCGAGGUGUAUCGAGCAGUGCAGAGCCCUCAGAGUGGCUGCUGCUCGGGCAGGCUGUGCAGACGCACCGAGCCUUGCUUUCCUGGCUGCUUUCCACUGGCCAAGGACAAUUGUUUCUCCUGCUGGGACUUGAGGGAGUUGAACUUGGAGAUGGACUUGGUGGAGAUGAUCGCUGAGGAGCCCAGGCUCUGAGGGGAGCUCAGCUCUCAGACAUCACAGGGUUUGAGAUUAGCGUGGUCUAAUGCACAGAGGUAUUUAAAAGCUCUCUGCCAUUUUAGAGAAGUGGAGCAGUGUGGGGGUUAACGGGGAGUCUCGGCUGUUCCAGGUGGGCAUUAGCCUUUCCCUCUCUCCCCUGGCACUGCUGGGACGGGCUGCGGCCGCCCCAGGGGCUCUGCCCACGUCCCUCCGGCUCCCUCCGGGCUUCGUGUCCGAGCUGUGGAGCCUGGCCUGGGCAAACCUGCUGCAAGCUGGCUGCAGCAGGACUUCAUGUCCUCACCCGAAUUUUGGCUUCUGUUUGCAUGCAGGGGAGAAGGGAGCGUCUCUGGAAAGUUCCAUCUGAAAAGCCAGAGCAGCAAAGCAGCUGGGAGACCCUUCAACAUCCACUGCUCAGGGCUGGGGGUCCUGCUGCACUGUCCUUGCCUGGGCCAGACCCAGACCCCACAAACCAGCUGAGGCUCUCCACCGAGCCGGAGAUCUGGGAAAGGAGCGAGAGGACGCUUGCCUGCAGGCUUAUUAGCAAGAAAGCAAUUAAACCCUUAAAAGAAACCGUCUGCACUCGGGCUGUCCACCUUCAUAACAUCCCUGUUUGCUGGGGAGAACCUGUUUGAACUGGUGCUGGGGCAGGCUGGUUCUGCAUCGCAUUGGCUGUCCAGCUCUUCAUUCUCUUCUGUUUAACCUCAGCAAAUGCUUCUUCCCUGUGCUGCACAGGGGAUGAAAACACCCUCCAUCACAAGGCAUUCCUUGCUUAUUUGCAGUCCUGAGGUUUGCUGGGUGUGAUCUAGAGAGAGAUAACAGCUGCUUUAUUCUUUCUGAUACAUGACCAAGUCAGCUUGUUUCCAACAUGAAUGAUUAAAAACCCACGUGCAUUUGUAAUGACCAUAUUCUAAUUAAAAAGCAACCCCCUCUUCAAAAAUUUGGGCAGCUAUAGUGGCAUUGUGCUAACCAAAAAUUAAUUAAUUAUUUAUAUGAAAUGUUCUGGUCUUUAAA
This is a long non-coding RNA of Taeniopygia guttata (zebra finch), 2624 nucleotides long. RefSeq lists it as uncharacterized. The record is from RefSeq and is a predicted model, not a curated record. Lineage: Eukaryota; Metazoa; Chordata; Aves; Passeriformes; Estrildidae.